UGAAAGCCCUUUUAGGCUUAAUGCAGUGGUGACAUGAGUUAAUGGUGCUGUUAUCACCUGAUAGUGCAACCCCAUGUGAGCAUACCAAAGGAAAUGAACAUCUACACGAAGCUGCCCGGAAUACAGCUAUAUCAAUCUGUUUUGUGUGCACAAUAAAAGAUAAGAUCAGAGCUCACCACGUCUUGAAACACCUGCUCAGAUUUGAUCUGAAAACUGAAAAUCCCCCAAAAUGUUAACAUGAGAUCCCUCUUUGUUGUUUCAGUUCAGCUCAGCUGUUCUGCUUGUGUGUGAGUAUAUUUUUGUAUAUAACUCUGGAUUCUGUUGACUUAUUUUGCUCUUUUUGAGUGGGUGCCAUUUCUCUUCCAAUCAUUAAAAGCUAUUGCCU
Long non-coding RNA from Python bivittatus (Burmese python), 385 nucleotides. RefSeq lists it as uncharacterized. The record is from RefSeq and is a predicted model, not a curated record. Lineage: Eukaryota; Metazoa; Chordata; Lepidosauria; Squamata; Pythonidae.